CUCUUCUGUUACCAUGGAUACAGGACCAAAUAUUUCAAAAAUUUCAAAAUGCUCCUAAAUUGAUCAAACUUAAUAUGAUUGUUGACUGGCAAGUCUGGAUGAGACUUUUGACUUUGGAAUUUCCAAAAUGGCCACCGUUGCCAUGGAAACUGCAAAAAAGUCAAAAAUUCUCAAAAUGCUUUGAACUUAAUGAAACUUGAUAUUAUUGUUAACUGGCAAGUAAAGAUGAGACUUUUGACUUUGAAAUUUUCAAAAUGGCUGCCGUUGCCAUGGAAACAGCAGAAAUGUGAAAUUUUUUAAAAUGCUCUCAAUGUACUGAAAAUUUACAGAAAGAUGUAUUGCCAUGCAUAUAUGUGCAUUCACUGUUAAACAAUUUUGAAAUGGCUGCCGCUUAGUGGCAAUUGGGGGAAGGGUGACAUCCGCUAUUGCUUGCAAUGGCAAUUCUAGUUAUGGCACCCUCAACGGAGUUGGGGUGACAUAUUGUUAUUCUACGUUUCUUUUUUUCUUAUUAUUAUGUCACCCGAUCGACAAUGUCGGGUGACAUAUUGCUUUUCCUCCGUUUGUUUUUUUUAUUAUUAUUAUUAUUAUUCACCGAUCGGUUGACAUAUUGCUUUUCUCUGUUUCUUUUUAUGGCACCCUCAACGGAGUUGGGGUGACAUAUUGUUAUUGUUCGUUUCUUUUUUUCUUAUUAUUAUAUUUAUUCUUCCACACUUUUUUGUCCAUACUAUUUCUCAGAAUUGGCUUGAACAAUAUUGAUGGAACUAUACCAUAAUGUUGACCACCACAUUAAAUAGUGCAGUGGGGUAUGGCAUCAUCAAGAUGGCUGCCGUUGCCAUGGAAACGAAACAAAUGUGAAAAAAUCCUGUUUUUUGUUUUGGUGAACUGUUUGGAUAUGCUUUAACUCAGAAUCAUUAUAUUUUAAUACAAUGUAGGUGCCCACUAUAUACAGGUGUUGGAUGAUUUUGGCACUCAUUGGAACUACUAUGUUGCCAUGGAAACUACACAAAAAAAUUUCAAAAAUAUCAAAAUGCUCAAAACUUCAUGAAACUUCACAGUAACGAUGAGCAACAUUGGAAGAUGUGGAAUUUGGCGUUGGAAUUUCCAAAAUAUCUGUUGUUACCAUGGAAACAAUGCAAAAAGGUCAAAACUUUGAAUUUUCACAGAACAUUCCAGAACAUCAAUGUUAAAUUUAUUCUAGAGACAUUAAAUGGUAUAUGAUGGUAUAUAUGAUUAUGGAGGGAAAAAUUGCAGCGGGG
Molecule: long non-coding RNA, 1256 nt
Filed under: Mytilus galloprovincialis (Mediterranean mussel)
Lineage: Eukaryota; Metazoa; Mollusca; Bivalvia; Mytilida; Mytilidae
Source: RNAcentral